Molecule: ribosomal RNA, 443 nt
Filed under: uncultured bacterium
Lineage: Bacteria
Description: partial 16S ribosomal RNA
Rfam family: Bacterial small subunit ribosomal RNA
Source: RNAcentral
CCUACGGGUGGCAGCAGUGGGGAAUAUUGGGCAAUGGGCGCAAGCCUGACCCAGCAACGCCGCGUGAAGGAAGAAGGCUUUCGGGUUGUAAACUUCUUUUAAGAGGGAAGAGCAGAAGACGGUACCUCUUGAAUAAGCCACGGCUAACUACGUGCCAGCAGCCGCGGUAAUCCGUAGGUGGCAAGCGUUGUCCGGAUUUACUGGGUGUAAAGGGCGUGUAGCCGGGCUGACAAGUCAGAUGUGAAAUGCCGGGGCUCAACCCCGGACCUGCAUUUGAAACUGUUGGUCUUGAGUAUCGGAGAGGCAGGCGGAAUUCCUAGUGUAGCGGUGAAAUGCGUAGAUAUUAGGAGGAACACCAGUGGCGAAGGCGGCCUACUGGACGGUGACUGACGCUGAGGCUCGAAAGCGUGGGGAGCAAACAGGAUUAGAUACCCCUGGUAGUC